This 253-nucleotide ribosomal RNA is filed under the name uncultured bacterium. Its description in RNAcentral is "partial 16S ribosomal RNA". It matches the Rfam family "Bacterial small subunit ribosomal RNA", at positions 524 to 776 of the family's 1533-position model. The record is from RNAcentral.
UACGGAGGGUGCAAGCGUUAUCCGGAUUCACUGGGUUUAAAGGGUGCGUAGGUGGGUUUGUAAGUCAGUGGUGAAAUCUCCAAGCUUAACUUGGAAACUGCCGUUGAUACUAUAAAUCUUGAAUGUUGUGGAGGUGAGCGGAAUAUGUCAUGUAGCGGUGAAAUGCUUAGAUAUGACAUAGAACACCAAUUGCGAAGGCAGCUAACUACAGGGUUAUUGACACUGAGGCUCGAAAGCGUGGGGAUCAAACAGG